This 73-nucleotide transfer RNA is filed under the name Candidatus Woesearchaeota archaeon. RNAcentral's name for it is "tRNA-Val". It matches the Rfam family "tRNA". Rfam says of the family: Transfer RNA (tRNA) molecules are approximately 80 nucleotides in length. Their secondary structure includes four short double-helical elements and three loops (D, anti-codon, and T loops). Lineage: Archaea; Nanobdellati; Candidatus Woesearchaeota. The record is from RNAcentral.
GGGGUCGUAGUUCAGUGGCUAGAAUGCUGCCUUGACAUGGCAGAGGUCGCCGGUUCGAGUCCGGUCGGCCCCA